GAAGGAAGGAAGGGGUGAGAGAGAGAGAGAGAGAAGGGAGAGGGAGAGAGAAAAUAAGAAAGAAAGAAAGAAAGAGGGGGGAAGGAAGGAUGGAAGGAGCUCCCAUCCGCUCCCGCCCCCCAGCUCAGGCUGCUCCUCCCCCCUCCCACGUUCCUGUCCCUGGAUGCAGCCGUGGAGGGGGCGAAAACAGCCCGAUUUCAGGCUGCUUCUCACCCUCCCCACGUUCUUGUCACUGGCUGCAGCCGCGGAGGGGGCGGAAACAGCCCGAUUUCCAUAACCUGCAGCGACUUUCCCCCUUCAGUUUUCAGAGGGAAAAAGUGCGGGUUAUGGUCCGUAAAAUACGGUUUAAAAGUUUUUGCGUCUAGGGGGCAGCUGCCCCCCCUGCCCCUCGCUGGGUACACCCAUGUAUGUAGGUAUGGUUUGUGCUCUCCUGAGCUCAGAUAUUUAGUGAAGAUAAUAAAUAAAGCUUACUGGCAUAAGUGUUACAGUACUAUAGUAUGAAUUUAAAAAUUGAGGAUUUAUACAUUGUGUUAGAACAGACCCACUGACAUUUAAUGGGGCUUAAGUUAGUUGUGAUUCAUUUACAUUCCAUUGAUUUCAAUGGAUCUAUAUAUGAAGUAUGACUAUGUCUGGAUCUAGCACACAAUAUUUAUCAGUGAGAGAUCCAGAGCUAGACAUAAUUUGGUAACCCCUGCUCAGACUGGGUGAAAUCUAACAGAGUCUGAUUUUCCCCUUCAGCCCUCUAUGCUCCUGAAAAAUAUGCUCCAGAGGAUUGCUGAAACCUCUGGAGAUUAGGGGAAUGCAAGAGAAGGGAGGAAUAGUGGAAGCCCCAUUGCAUUAGCAAUGAGCUAUACAUGCCAUCUACAUCAUUGGGAUUCUGACCAACUACAGAGUUGUCCUAUGAAUUGUGGAAUAAGGAACUGUAUUCCCACAAAAAGUUUAUUUUUACAAUAUUAAUGGAGUCAAUUUCUGAGGCAAAGUUCUGAGGGUUUGGAAGGCUGCAUUUGGUCCCAGAGUGUGAGCUUUCUCCACCACUGAUAUAGACAAUUCUGUAAUGGUCUGACUUAGGCCACAGCCACACCAGGUAUUUAGAACAGCAUUAUACCACUUUAAACAGUCUUAGCUUCCCCCAAAGUAUCCUGGGGAAUGUAGUUUGUUAGGAGGCCCCUUAUUCCCCUCAAAGAGAUACAUUUGCCAUAUUUCCCUUGGAAGAAGAAUUGAUUGAUAAACUACAGGCAACCCACCCACCCUCAAUUUACGCAGGGGUUACGUUCCAAGGCAAUGUGUAUUUACCAUAUUUUUCCAUCUAUAAGACAACCCCCCUAUAUAAGACACCCCCUAUUUUGGGGGACUCAGAUUUAAGAAAAUGGGGGAGAUGUAUCCGUGCAUAAGACACCCCCUAAUUUUUGACAUUACUUUUUUGGGGUGGGAACCUAGUCUUAUACAGUGGUGCCUCGACUUAUGAAUUUAAUCCGUUCCGAAGGCACCUUCGUAGGUUGAAAAAUUCGUAAGUCGAAAAGCGCCAUUGGAAACGCGAUUUCCCAUAGGAAUGCAUUGGAAAUGGAAAAAUUCGUAAGUCGAAGCAACCCCAUCUAGAAAUUCGUAAGUCAAAAAAACCCUAUCUAAAACCGCCACGGUUUCUGUUCGGAUGUCGAGAAAUUCGUAAGCGUUUGCCCCAUUAGUAAGUCGAAAAAUUCGGUUGUCGAGUCGUUUGUAAGUCGAGGUACCACUGUACAUGGAAAAAUACGGUAAGUGAAAUCGCGUAUAUUUGAGACACCAUCGAAAAAGCCUGUAAACAUCCCAUUCCGCCUCUGCCCUGCCCUGAACAUUCGGAGCUGUCCAGAUUGACUUAGGUUGGCACCAUCCCACCACAUUUGAUAAAAUCCUGCCAGGUGAGGUGGUGAUAUUUUCAGAGGCGUCCAUCCUGCCCCAAAUUGGAUAAAGUUAAGUCAGAAUCACUUUUCGCUCCACCAUCUUGAUUCAGAAUGGCUGCUGGGUAUCCAAACACCAAUGAAGACUUUCACUCCCACUUUGGGAGCCCUUGUGCCAAAUUUGGAGGAUAUAUCUCGAGAGGUGGUUGAACCUAUAGAGAACACAUAGGCAUUGUUAUUGUUGGCAUCCAUCUGUCUUCAGAGACAGCUCAUGGGCAAAUGGAUGAACUGCUUUUCAAAGUAUGUAGAAGUAGACAAUGACAUUUAUAUGAAAUACAUACAGAGGUUUCCUGUUACUUUCCCUUACAAAUGACCCUGUGAGGAAACAUUUUACCACACCUUGAUUUAAAAUCCGGCAGGCUGCCAGCUAAAGUUGCCUCGGGCCCUGGAUCUGGUCUUUGGGCUGCCAGUUUGCCCUUCGUAAUAUAAACCAGGGCUGUGACAAAUAGGGAUGGAAUUUUCUUGAUGUCAAGCUUAUUCACACACACAGUUGUCCCCCCCCUAAUUCCUAUCUCACUCCUUAAUCUUGACAAGAAGCAAUUCCCCCCCUCCAGUUCUGCUAAAAAUGUGAACAAUUCUUUCAUUAUUAUAUGUGCAUUAUUAUUUGCAAAUAUAAGCUUCCUAAAGUAACCAGAGCUUAAACAGAUACAAGCAGCAAUUAUGUACAGUAUAUAACUCUGUAAAAUUGUAUAAAAAUGCACAUAACUGUAUAAAUAUACUUACAAAACUAUGCUGCAGAAACAUAUUAAACCACAUGGGGCUUAACCUUUUUAUAAAUAUUGAAUGUAUAACAUGCAUAUAUAUAUUUCAUAUAAUUAGUUGGGCUUAAAAAAAGAGUGCAACAACAGCUCUGACAUAAGAGGGCACUUGGUGCAAGAGGCAGUCUGGUGUGAUGGGGUCACAAACAUAAUCUGUUCAUAAACCCAUCUAAAACAGAAUUAUUCUCUCUUCCUAGUGGCAACAUACCUCUUAAUCUCUCUCACCCACACACCGUUCACAGGUGGAAAACUUAGGAGGCAGUUUCAAAAAUUUGGAGGACUGGGUGAAAGAUUCUGGGACGAGUCCUGCUACUACAGAGAUAGCAGCAGAAUAAGAGCAACUACUAAAGGAAGAGUGGCCACUGGUAAAUUUCUCCCUCUGAACUUUUCACUUGGGUUAUUUAUUCAUUUAUCAAAUUUAUUGAAGGACUUUAUGAGCCACCACCCUUUCCCUCCCGAAAGCUGAACCAGAACUUCUUAAAUUCCAAACAAUCAAGAUGCCACCACCUUCAGCAAAUAAAAAAAAAGUUAUUAAACUUAUUUGUAACUGUAACCAAAUAAUAAUCUGGGCUGCAUUUUAUAAAUACAUGGCUUGUUUAUGAGCUUGUAAAGUUCCAGUUCCAGUUUACAGGUUGAUACCAAACUUGAACCCUUCUCUGACCCAUACAAAGACUGUAAGGUAGGUCUAUAAACCCAAAGCUCUGAUCAUUGCUAGGUUAGGCUUUCCCCCACCCAACAAUGUCCUAUAACUUUCAUCCUGAAAGUAAACAUUUGUUCUUCUAACAUGCAUGCCUGCACGGAAAAGUAUCAUGGUUUAUGAAAGUGGGACCAGUGCAUGUCACUUGAAGCAUUUCAUGCUGGCAUGGAAUUAAUUUGCAAAUGGCUCAUACACUUACUAUGAAAAGGCAGAUUUCCACAUGGAAAUUUGAUCAAAGUUUUUUUUAAAACCUCUUACAAAGUUUACUUAGGGAGAGAGGUGGCUGCUAAAACUACUACUAACUCCUCUUGCCCUUUAGUAUAGUAAAGGGAGCAGAUUGAGACCAUACCUUGGAAGGGACAGGGAUCAUUUAUGAUUAUUAUUUCUUAAAUUUAUAUACCACCCCUUCAUCUAAAGAUCACAGGGCGAAUCACAACAUAAAAAUCAAAAUGAGAAUACAUAACAAAAAAAAACCAAUAGCAAACCAAUAACACCCCUCCUCCCACAAACACAAUUAAAUCAGCCAAAGGCCUGAAUGUAUAGAGAAACGUUUUUGCCUGGUGCCUAUACUGUAGAUAUGUAAUGAAGGCGCCAGGUGAGCCACCUUGGGGAGAGCGUUCCACAAGUGGGGCGUCACCACAGAAAAGACCUCUUUAUUGUGUUGUCACCCUCUGAAUCUCUCAUGGAAGAGGCACACAACAAAGGGCCUCAGAUGACAGUCACAGGGUCUGGGUCAGUUCAUAUGGGAAGAGGUGGUCCUUGAGAUAUUGUGGUCCUGAGCAGGUUUUAUAGGUCAAAACCAGUACUUUGAUUUGGGCCCAGAAACUGACUGGCAGCUAGUUCAAGAUUGAUAUUAUAUGCUCAGUCUUGAGCUGGUGAGCAACAUGGCUGCUGCAAUGAGGAUGUAGACUCAGGGGCCUAUGGAGGGUGUAUUGCCGUCGGGCGUUUCAAAACAUGGAGCCAACAUUAGUUCUGUGUAUAUUAAAAGGUCACCUCCUUCCCUUUGCAACCUGUUGAUUUCUGUGGUCAGUGGAGGGUUAUCUUUUGGAUUGUGCCCCUUUAUGUGGCAAAUAUUGAUCAAGCAAGAGAAGGUAGACUAUUUUAUAAUGGACACUCCUGCUCAAAUUGGCUGCCCAGAUAAAUUUGUAAACAUAAUUCGGCUCCUCCAUGAUAAUAUGACAGCAACAAUCGCAGAUAACAAUGGCUCUCAAAGUGAACCAUUCACAGUGGGACCAGCUGUUAAACAGGGUUGUGUUAUUGCCCCAACUCUAUUCAUUAUUUUCAUUGCCAUGAUCCUACACCUUGUUGAAGGGAAACUCCCUACCGGAGUAGAAAUCAUAUAUCGAACAGAUGGAAAGCUCUUCAAUCUGAGCAGGCUGAAAGCAAAAAGUAAGGUUACCGUAACUUCCGUCAUAGAGCUUCAGUAUGCUGAUGACAACAUAGUGUGUGCACGCUCGGAGGAUGACCUCCAAACCAUCCUAAAUAUCUUUGCAGAAGCUUACGAAAAGCUUGGCCUAUCACUCAACAUCAAAAAAACCAAAGUGCUGCACCAACAAGUACAAAAUAACCCCUCUGCAGUGCCACAAAUCCAACUCAGUGGUGUAACGGUGGAAAAUGUUGAUCACUUCUCAUACCUAGGCAGUUACCUUUCCACAAGGGCCAACAUUGAUGCCAAAAUCCAGCAUCGCCUGAGCUCUGUGAGUGCGGUUUUCUCCCGAUUGAAGUGCAGAGUGUUUGAGGACCGGGACAUUCGCAGGGAAACCGAAAUGCUUGUUUACAAAGCUAUUGUACUACCAACCUUACUAUAUGCUUGUGGUACAUGGACCACUUAUAAACGCCAUCUCCAACUGCUCGAAAGAUUCCAUCAACGGUGUCUCCAAAUUUUUUUACACAUCACUUGGGAAGACAGGCAAACUAAUAUCAGUGUACUGGAAGAAGCAAAGAUCACCAGUGUUGAAGCAAUGAUUCUUCAACAUCAACUUUGUUGGACUGGUCAUGUUGUGCGGAUGCCUGAUGAUCAUCUUCCAAAGCAACUACUCUAUUCCAAACUUAAAAAUGGAAAACGUAAUGCUGGUGGUCAACAAAAGAGGUUUAAAAACUGUCUCAAGCAAAUCUUUAAAAGUGUAGUAUAAACACUGACAACUGGGAGACACUGGCCUGCGAGUGCUUCAAUUGGAGAACAGCCUUUACCAAAGGUGUCAUGAGCUUUGAAGAAAUUUGAUCUCAGGAUGCAAUGGAGAAACGUGCUAAGAGGAAGGCACGCUUGGCAUAUCCACACCUUGAUCAGCUCCUGCCUGGAAGCCAAUGUCCCCACUGUGGAAGGACGUGUGGAUCCAAAAUUGGCCUCCACAGUCACUUAUGGACCCAUCUAUGGAAGAUAAUCUUACUUGGCUACGAGUGAUCGCCAAAGAGAGUGAUCAAGCAAGAGAAAACUAAAAUAAAAAAAAUUCCUUCCAGUAGCACUUUAGAGACCAACUAAGUUUGUCAUAGGUAUGAACUUUCGUGUGCAUGCAUGACAAAUUAGUUGGUCUCUAAGGUGCUACUGGAAGGAUUUUUUUUAUUUUUGUUUUGACUACAUCAGACCAACACGGCUACCUACCUGUAACAAGCAAGAGAAGGUAGACUACUUUAUAAUGGACACUCCUGCACAAAGUAGAAGGGGGCAGAAAGACAAUUGAUUUCCAGUAUCUUGGUAUGAAUACUUACGCUCCUGCUGCGCUUGAGUUCAUUUCUGGUAGCAGGCACUUCAGAUAGAUCAAGAUUGCCCACACAAAGAUCCAAGUCUAAGCUGAAAGAAGGUGGUCUUUGUGCAGUUGAUAGAAGUGGGAUUUGUAUGGAAUUCUGAUUGCUCUUCUGAUAUAAUCUGUCUUCUUAAGUAAUGCCCUUACAUUUUUCAUGGUAUUUACUUGAGAGUCAUCUCUAGAUCUUUUUUUGGUAAGAAAAAACUCUUCCAGCUUUUUUCAUGUGAUAUUGUUUUAAAAACCUUGCAAUUGGGAAUGGCCUUACUUCCUCACAUAAGCUGACAUUUGAGACAGAUGCAUCUCGCAACUGUGCCAGCUUGUUUCCAAGGACUCAUCAGAGUGAGCAUCCUUGAAGCUCAGCAUUAGGUACCAAAAUUGUCAAUGCUUAUGGUAGUCAAGUUGAACACAGUUUUGUGAUAAAAUUAUAUUGUUUUUCUGUUUGCUUUCAGUUAUGUAACUUCUAACAGCAUUAUUGUUAUAACUGUCUUUAUUACUUUGUAACUUUAGAGCUUUAGAAACUUUAAAAUAUGUUAAUGUCUUCUUCAAAACUUUUCCAUGGGGAUAUACUAAACAUCCAAAUUCUGGAAACAAAGAAGUGACUUCUGUAUUGGGAAGAGAACACAGUUAAUCUACUAUGUUGUCUGUUUGCUAUGCAUUUGGACACUUCUUAAACUAUUGCAACCAAAUUUUGCAUGAUAUCAAGGAGAUGAAGCAGCAGGUUUUCAUGUAUGUUUGGAUACAAUUGGAUGCCAAUCUGAAUCAAAGUGGCAGACUGAAUUUUUCAAACUGCACUGGUUUUUUGGUUUCUUAAAUUUCCUUAAAUGCUGCAUAGAAGACUACUAGUAAUCAUAUCAUCCUAUCAAAUUUGCAGCUGACAUUCCUUCUCAUAAUGAUCAAUGUGGAGGGGAUGGGAAGAUUCACCUUCCUUUUUACUUAAAGAGAAGAGUGAUGAGCCAAUGUGAUGUUUAUUUCCUUCAGCUGUAUUGUUCUUUCUGCCUGUGUUUGUCUGCAUAUCAUCUUGCAGAAUUAAUCAGGGUGGUCUUGUGGUCUUAAGUGCUGAUCUGAAUUCUACUUACAUAUUGGUUCCUCAAUUAUUGCCAAGGUGGUAAACUUGCAGUGAGGAUAUCUGCAUGUUGUCUGCAGUAUUUUAAAAAUCAUUUUACAGUACAUGCACUUUCGAUUAUUGGUGAGAGCUGUAUUCUUCUCACUUCAGACCAUAGUUUGUUGGAACAGAAUUCAGAAUCAGGAGUGAUUCUCUUCUCUGCAACUCCAGCUUGUGAGAAACAUUGAAAUUAAUUGAUAGCAGUAUUUGGGAUGAAUUAUUCCAUUAACUUAAUAAAUAAAUAAAUCUGGCUGGCUUAUAAAAAACGGUUAAUCUAUUGCUUGUUCAUUCGGAAAGUUUUCAGUGUGUAAUAAUUUUUAAAUGUUAUAAGCGUAUUCCCGUGAUAUUUAACUUUUGGCAGUAAAACACUCUUUGUAAGCAUAUCUGGUUUUGCAACACCACCUAUUUCAUGCUGAGAAGGCCCAUUUCAAAUUCUGGAUGUUUGUUUCCCUAUUAACUUUUGUUCCAUUAAGGGCUUAUCCACACUUACCUUUCCUCCACUCUUUCUAGGCAUGGUCCGUGAUUUAAAGCUCCGUGUUCAAGUGCCCCUUCUGUUGUUGUUGCUCUGGAGCUUUCCUUGUGAAAACUCCCUGUUUAAAACCCAUGGAAAUCCUGAAUUGACAUUUGCUCCAAUUCAUCUUUAAAGAGUGAGUUUUCACUUUAAAGAGUGGGUUUUCACAAGGAAAGCUUGGGGCAAAAACACGCACACAAAAAAACACUUGGAGCAUUAAAGUGUGCACCUCAGCUGUCUGAAAAGAGCAGGGCAAAAGGUAAAUGUGGAUAAACCGUAUGAGUUAGAUGUUUUUAAGAUUUAUUCAUGUUGUCACCUUGAACAUAAAUGAGAAUGUCUAAUGGUGUACCUCAGUUCCUACAGUGGUGUGUGGUCAGUGGACUAGGGAGACUAGGCUAGUCUCCUAAAUGGUAAAUUAGAGUAUUAAAGUAUUUAAAGUCUGGUGCCUCCUUCCCAAAGCCCAGGAAGCUUCUGCCUGGCUUAGGGAGGAAAGGCGAUGCUCAUGUGUGGGACAUUGGGAUGCGCCCCCCCCCCCCGGAAUUGUCUUUGCAUACUGGUGUCUCUGGCCCUAACUGUUCCCCUAUGAAAAAAUUCACCCACAUUCCUGGUUUCUACCUUUACAGGGGUUGUACUUGAGACUAAAAUUUAGCUUUGCAUAAUAUGUGGCUUUAUAAUUAGUGUGAACAUGUAAGAUCUAGAGUAGUAGGAUACCAUACAUGUGUUAUUUUAACAAAUAUGUAAACAGAUAUAGAGGGUCGCGGGUGGCGCUGUGGUCCAAACCACUGAGCCUAGGGCUUGCUGAUCAGAAUGUCAGUGGUUCGAAUCCCUGCAAUGGGGUGAGCUCCCAUUGUUCGGUCCCAGCUCCUGCCCACCCAGCAGUUCGAAAGCACGUCAAAGUGCAAGUAGAUAAAUAGGUACCACUCUGGCAGGAAAGUAAACGACGUUUCCGUGUGCUGCUCUGGUUUGCCAGAAGUGGCUUAGUCAUGCUGGCCACAUGACCCGGAAGCUGUAUGCUGGCUCCCUCGGCCAGUAAUGACAGAUGAGCGCUGCAACCCCAGAGUCGUCCGUGACUGGACCUAAUGGCCAGGGGUCCCUUUACCUUUACCUUAAACAGAUAUAGCUGAAGGGAAGGUCUGUAGCUCAGUAGCAGAGCAUUUACUUUACAUGCAGAAAGUCCCAGGUUCCAUUUUUGCCCUUCUCCAGGUAGGGCUGGAAAUGUCCCCUUUCUGAAAGCCUGCCAGUCAGUGUACACAGUAAUGAGCUAGAUCAGCACAAUGCACUUUCCUUGUGUUCCAGGCUGUGAGCAUAGCACUGCAAAAAUACAGAUUCCUAACUUUUUAGACUUUAGCUCUUAUCAGCUGCCCAGUUUGCUACUUCUGGAAGAGAAUGAGCUGUUUAGGAACUUCAGGACAUGCUUGUCAACCAUUUCCUUUGCAACAGGUAGAUUGGAACAAAUUGUAUCUGUGGGAAAAAUACAUAGGAACUUUCCAUCAGAGCCUUGUAAAUGAGGAUAGGAUAGAAUGGCCCUGCGGCUGGCAAAGAAGGGCAUUGGCACUAGAGCUGUCAGCACCUCUAGAGCACUCAAGAAUCAUGGUAACAUCUUGGCAUUAUUUGAAGUUGGGCCUUUGACAUGCUUGCAUUUUCCCUAAGAAGUUGGUGUUCCCAGUGCUUGUUGUUCCUUUGACAUGGUUCUUUUGCUGCACUUUUUCUAAUUUAUGAAGCCGUAAUAAAGUCCUUGUAUAGAGGUACUCUGUGGGAGGUAAGAGACACCUCUUUGUGGAACAAAUCAAGAAUUAUGGUAUUUAUUUAUUUUUGGUCAGGGAAAACCUAUUUGCCAUUGAUACAUUUGUCUUCUCAUAAGUACAUUUGAUUUCUCAUAAUAGAAUGUAUAAGAUUCAAUAGCAUCCCCAUUGGGGAAUUAAUGUAAUUCAAUCAUUGUUGCAGAUUAGGUGUGGUUUUGAGAGUCUGUCUUCCUCUAAGCAGUGUGCAGUACAGGAGUUUUUUCCAUCUGUUUACUUGGAUUACUGCUGCAACAUGCUGUGCUCUUUGUGAUUACUAGGAACAUGUGAAUUGUGAGGGCAAAGAGUCUUAUUCAUGACAAUGGCCCAUGGUUGUAGAAAUGCAUGGGUCAUGACCGCUGAAUUUUAUUAAAUUUGUGGUGCCAAUGGAUUCUAUGCAGAGUAAACCAAACAUACACUCUCAUUUUUUAAAUGUCCACAGCUAAGCUUUAUUGAAGAUUUCUGUGUGGCUAUUCCAUUGUGCUUGCACAAACUUGACACUUUGCUGAACUCUUGGUUUGCAAAUCCAUAAGCAUAAAUUUUGCUGCAGGGACUACCUGGCCUUAUGGGUGUGUAAAUGAGCUAUCCAAUUCACAGUGAAAGUCUUUUGGCCUGCUAGUCCUUUAAUGCAGAACAAUGACCCUAUGUUGUUUGAAGUGUUUUUGUCACUGUACAUUUUAAUACAGGUACCCAUAUAUUCCGGCGUAUAAGACGACUGGGCGUAUAAGAUGACCCCCAACUUUUCCAGUUAAAAUAUAGAGUUGGGGUAUACUCGCCAUAUAAGAAAUACGACCCGGCGUAUAAGACGACCCCCAACUUUUGAGAAGAUUUCCCUGGGUUAAAAAGUAGUCUUAUACGCAGGAAUAUAUUGUAUAUUGGGGAAACUGCCAGUAGGCAUAACGGGAAGCUGCCGUUGGACUCCUUUUCUGAUUCUGUAUCCAUGUUUAUGUGUGUUUUAUAAAGGCUUUAUUUUUUGCAGGGUUGUGGGGAACACCACUUGUGUCAAAGUGAUUGAUCCUUUGUUGUGUGAAAUUGUGAAGUGUUCGUUCUUGUAUUUCUCAGGAGGAUUUGUCCAAAUCUCUCCCGCACCCCCCUCCUCAGAAAAAUACAGGCCAAGAAGCUGAGAGCAUAUCACAAGAUAACAGCACACCUUUUCUGAGCAAUUGCCAGGACAUUUUAGCCAAAGGGGGUCCUUGGAUUCCAUUAGUGAUCCUUCAACUGCUUAUGUCACAUGGGAGGGAGAGGAAAUUGCUCAUCCAAUUUCUUUCUUUGGACAUAGCAGAAAACAUCCCACCCCGUGUUUCAUGAGUGCCACCUCUUACUCGUUGUGUAGACGAGAGCUUUCAGCAGAAGCACAUGCACUGCUAGCAAAAAGUCCCAGGUUCAAUCCCUGGUAUCUCAGAAAAGGCUCUGUCUCAAACCCCUGAAAGCUAUUGCUAGUCAUUGUAGAUGACAGCCGGGGAAUCUUUUACAGCCUAAGGACUGCAUUCCCUUGCGUUCAGCCUUCUUGGGACCAUAUGCCAGUGACAGGUGGGGCAAUGGAUGCGACUCUUAUCUUUGUACAUUAGGCUACAGUUAAGCCACACACAAGAUCUGUUUUUCCUAUGCGUAUCUCUCUCCAUCUAGGCAAGCAUGACGCAUUGUUGCAGUUCAAGGACGUAUUCUAGCGAGGCAAAAGAACUGGAGGCGUUGCUAUGGAGAGUUCCAAGGCCUAGAGAGGCCUGGCAGGCUGCUUUGGGCUCCUUGGCCUGAGGUUCUCUUCCACUGUGGCAGAUAAGACUCAGCUAGAUGGAUUAAUGUUUUGACUUGGUUGAAGGCAACAUCCUACGUUGUCACCACAGCAUAACAAUCUGUGAUGGGAGCCCUGUUCUCCUUUGCAUCCAACGAAUGUUAGCUUUGGAACUGCUUUCAACAAUAUGUUUUCUCAUGUCAGAUUCUUAAAAUAUGUAAAGGGAGCAGACAGAAAAUGGCCAUAGGCAUGCAUUUUUAUUUUUAUUUUGUAAUGUUGUGCCGCUUUGAGAGACAAGGCUAGCAACAACUGUUAGCCAUAAUGGCUAUAUUCUGCUUGGCAUUAUGCCUCUGACCAGUUGCUGGGAAUCACAGGUGGGCAAAGAACUGUUGUGCUUGCAGGCUUCCCACAGGCAUCUGGUCAGCCACUAUAAGAACAGGAUGCUGGACUAGAUAGAUAGGCCAUUGGCCUGAUCCAGCCAUUGGCCUGAUCCAGCAGGCUCUUCUUAAGUUGCCUCCAGCACCCUUUUCUGCCAUAUUGUGCUCCUCUUCAGUUAGAGAGACAGAUCUGCAGCUAUUUCUUGGUCCCUUCCCUGCAAUUCUUUUUCAGGAUAUACCGGUAUGUAAUAAAAUAUAAUACCAGAGGAAUGAAAGUCCAGGGCUUUCUCCCCCUCUGCUUUACAAUAAUUAUAUGAAAUUGUGCUAUUUCUGUGUAAUAUGGUGGGGUGCUAUAUAAUCAUUAUGAGCUUCAGAGGUUUCUUCUUUUGUGUCUGCACUUUUGAAUUUUCCUGUAUACUAUAAGCUCCUUUCUUGUGGAUUUUUGUUGUUGUUGCAAACCCAGUUAUUUUUUUAAAAAUAGGUGAUGAUGCUUAUCUUUUAAAGCGUUGCUAUAAUUUUUAAAUACUUUGUUGCUCCAUUCUUAAAACUGCAAGGGGGUAAUGUGGUUUCCACAUUCAAUGACAGGAGCAUUUUGUCAAAAUCCUGUCUCAAGACAUUUUAUAGCAGCAAGAAGAAAUAAGUAAUUUCCUAAACUUGCCCUUUUUACCUAUGGAGGCCAUAAAAAAUGUUAAUGCAAAUGAUGUUGCCUUCUGUUGUGUGACGGUAAUUGGAAAUGGAUCACUGCAGUUUAUGAGGCACUUAUCCUUUCGGGUCCACAGUAAAUGGCUCACUUUGAGUGAUGUUUCCUCAUUUGAUUUCCUCUUCUUUCACACCAGAAAAAGUGAGUAGAAAGACCAAAGAUAAACAUGGAGUUGAUUUUGAAGUUGACAUAAUUUUUGUAAGCUGUGAAUUUAUGUUUAUCAUGUGUUUGCUAGAGCAGAGGUAAAGAUUAUAGGAGGUAAUCUUCUUUAUACCUUAGUUUGUUUUAUUGGCUAUGUGCUACACCAUCUUUGAUUUCCAACCUUCCGCCCCGUUCUUUUAUUUCAAAGGGUUUUACUUUGUUCUGCAAUGAAACCUUUCAUUGUGAUCCUUUAUUCGUUACUCUGUUGACCUUUUGGACAGCAGGAGACAUUUGAGGAUGCUACAAUAAUCACAUCAUAUCCUCCUUCAUAUUUCUCCACAUUAACCUCUACAAUCUUAAUGCAAUAAUCAAGGAACUGAUGAAUACCCCUGCUCAUGGUGUGAAUUUACGUAUCCUUUACUUAUUUCAAAUGUUACUUUUAAAUCUCCUAUGACCCCUCCCCCCCCAAAAAAAAUCUGGGGUCACAUCUGAUUCUACAUGGCAGGUCAUUUAACAUUUUUUGACAAUGCUGUGCACAAUGUUCAUAUUAACAUGCUUACUGGGUUUAAAUAAUCUAGAUUAGGCAUCCCCAAACUGCGGCCCUCCAGAUGUUUUGGCCUACAACUCCCAUGAUCCCUAGCUUAACAGGACCAGUGGUCGGGAAAGAUGGGAAUUGUAGUACAAAACAUCUGGAGGGCCGAAGUUUGGGGAUGCCUGAUCUAGAUAUUGGCUUCUGUUGGAGCAAGUUACUGAAAAACCUUUCAGUUUCUCCAUUGAAGUUCCUGCCCUGCAGCUCAAGUUUCCAAAUGCAAGUGAAAUGUAUGGUAAAAUAAAUGGCAGAGUAAGUCUGUUUGAUUCUACUCACUUAAGUGUAAUUGGCUUCUAAGUUCUCACUGUACUUUAGCAUGACUGUUUAAUGAUUUUUCUCUCAUCAGUCACUUCUGUAAAGGUGUGAUGUUGUUUUACUCAGUAGGCUGUCACUCGGCUUCUUUGCACUUCAAAAAGAUCUAAGCUUGCUGAUUAUGACUUUGCUACUUCCUGUUUAAUUGUUAUAUACUUAAAAGGAUUCCUUGUUUUAAAACCAUAUGGUAAUGAACACAAGUAUAAAUCCUUCAGACCUGCAAGUCUAUAAAGUUUUGAUAUCUUGUCAUUCUUCCUCUUGUUUUGAAGAUUCGUGUAAUCAAACUCUGCAUGCGCUUUUCACUUCUAUGGGACAGUUCAGACUUGAAAAAUCUCUCCACAUUGAGUGGCCUGAAGACUUUGUUGCAUGGGGAAAGUAAAUCUGGCCCAGAGCAUCUUCAGCUAUAGGAGCCACUCUGGCAAUUCAUGUGAGCAUGCAGCACACUUUUCAGCUCAUGCAAAUUGCUUUCCAGACAAACAUCUGCAAUGUGGCGCAUACUGGAUUAGAUGCUGCUUGCUUCAUUUGGCUGCCUCUCUGAAGGUGCUGUGUUGAUGGGCUGGCAUGGGCUCACUUCUUUGCCUUUUAGCAUCUGUGGCAGCAGUGGCCAGCAUGUGGCAGGUAAUCUGUGGCAGCAGCUGCACAGGAAUAUGGCAGAUGAGCCCUGAAAACUGUGUAGCUGGAUGAGCAGCAGACAGGCCACAGUGGCAGGUGGAUGGUGUCACCAUCAUCAGAGGGGUACUAGCUGAAGGAUACCUGAAAGACCAUCUCACUCUUGAGGGCCUCCUGCAGAUACUUUCUUACAGGAGGUCCAUUCUACUGCAACAUAGGAAUCAGACCUUUAAUGUUGAAGCACCUACCCUUUGGAGUUCCCUCCCUUUAGGCAAGAAGGGACCCAGGUGGCGCUGUGGUUAAACCACUGAGCCUAGGGCUUGCUGAUCAGAAGGUCGGCGGUUCGAAUCCCUGUGACGGGGUGAGCUCCCGUUGCUCGGUCCCAGCUCCUGCCAACCUAGCAGUUCGAAAGCACGUCAAAAUGCAAGUAGAUAAAUAGGAACCGCUACAGUGGGAAGGUAAACGGCGUUUCCAUGUGCUGCUCUGGUUUGCCAGAAGCGGCUUUGUCAUGCUGGCCACAUGACCUGGAAGCUAUACGCCGGCUCCCUUGGCCAAUAAUGCGAGAUGAGCACGCAACCCCAGAGUUGGUCACGACUGGACCUAAUGGUCAGGGGUCCCUUUACCUUUACCCUUUAGGCAAGAGACAGAUACUGUCUCAGUUGUCUUUUCAGCACCUACUGCAGACUUUCCUCUUCAAACAAGCCUUUUAAGUAGGUAUCUUACCCACUGUGCACUUGCAUUGGAAUUUUGGCAAACAUGCAAACGUCAACACAGCUAAUCACAAUUCCAAGAAUAAAUUUAAUAAAUAAUAAUAAUGCUCAUACAGUAGACUAAAAAAAUGGCACCAAUAUUGAGACACACAUUCAUUGUGACCCUGGACACUGUGUUUGGCUUUUCUAAAACAUAAAAUGGCACUGAAGUUUUCAAUUCACCAGAGAACCUGGAUAGCCAUGGCUUAGAUCAGCAGUGGAAGGAAAAACUAUAGUCUUCUUGAAAUUAUUCUGCGCUAUAAUGAUCAAGUCCUCCAGAUGUUUCUGGAUUAUAACUCCCAUAAUUCUUUGGCCAUGGUGGCUGAGGCUGAUGGGAGUUAUGAUCUGUCCAGCAGCAUAUUAUUUAUAACAUUUCUCUCCCCCCCUCUCUCUCUCUCUCCCUCCCUCCCUCCCUCUCAACCUCUCUCAACUCUAAGUGAUGUAUAGGAAACUCAAGCACCAUCAGACAACUUAAACAACAAAUGUUACAAAAAUACACAGUUUCUCAGGGAUGACUCACACCCCAGCCAUCACCUCUUUAAUCUUCUACCCUCGGGCAGGAGAUAUAGAAGUACAGUAUAAUCAGCCAUACCAACAGGCUAAAAAAUAGCUUCUAUCCGUGGGCUGUUAGGCUGUUGAACGGAAAAUAACAUAGCGAAAUUGACUUGUGAGGUGGUGUGUUGUUCGAUAAGAGAUUGAGUGUUUGGGUGUGGGAGGAGGGAGGCUCAUUUAAUUUCAUUGUACACAGGUUGUACAAUGACAAUAAAGGUAUCAUCAUCAUCAUCAUCACCAUAUAAAAAUGUUACAUUGAACAAAAUUACUAAUAAGUAUAAACCAGUAUCAUUUAUUUCACCUUUAGACACACACCUUCCCUCUCAACCUUCUUGGCCUUACCCAGGGUCCAAACAAACUCUCAGCUCGCCUGCAAUCUGAAGGGUACUACAUUGGUUAUUCCUGUAGUAGAGUAAAAUGAUAUUGACAUAUUGAGGUACUGUCAAUAAAUAAAACGGUCUCACACUCUGUUAUGCAUUAAGAAAUGUGUUAUGAAGUUUAUCAAGCAUUGUAAGUAAUAAGGGAGCCAAGAUACUCAGAAAGUAAAUAAUAAAUGAUUAUGUUCGAUAUGAAAGCAGAUAAAUACGUAGAAACAGACUUCCACUACUAAAGCGAAUCUGCAUAAAAAUGUCCACAAAUCUUUUCAGUAUAUUGGCAUUUUUUUUUUGGUAAUUUAUGAUUUGGAGUACAUGGUGGAACAACACUGAACAAAAUGUACCCCUUGAAGAUAAGAAUUGUUGUAAAUGUCUAUGUUGGUGAGAACAGCAUGCACUGAAGAAAAGUUAUUCAGAUGCAUUUUAAUCAUUAUCAGAUUGAAGUCUUUUGUAUUUGUAUGUAUGUGUUAUAUAUACAAGUAUUAUUUACAUAUCUACUAUAUCUGUAUUUUUUUAAUGGGAGGGAAUAUUUUCUGGGAUUGAUCCUGAGAUAACUUGUGUUUUGCAGAAGGGCCCCUUCUGUCCAUAGAAAGAGGUUUCAUCCAGUGAAGGAGGCCUGCUGCAAAUGGACAGGGAAGACAAUUUUCACUCUGCCCUUUCCAACAGCCCCCUUUCCACCUCCCACAUGGUUAUAGAGGGUCUCCAAACACCCUGGACCAGAUUUUCUAGGUACUGGUGCUGAUUUGUUGCUAUGUGCAGUCUGAUCCAGUCUGCCAGGUUGGAAAUCAUGGCAGCUUGAAAAGCAGAUCAACCUGUUAAGAUCGUGGUGGGUGGGAGAAUGGAAAUGCUUCCUGUUUCAGCUGCUUGGUGGGUGGGAGAAGGGGGACAGAUAGCAGCAAUUCCAAAAUGUAUACUUGGGAGUAAGUUCCAUUGAGUACAUCUGGACUUAGUCCAGUUGGUGCAGGAUUGCAGGCUAAAGCAAAUAUCUUUUUUUUUUAAA
This is a non-coding RNA of Zootoca vivipara (common lizard), 16650 nucleotides long. Lineage: Eukaryota; Metazoa; Chordata; Lepidosauria; Squamata; Lacertidae. The record is from RefSeq and is a predicted model, not a curated record.